Molecule: ribosomal RNA, 588 nt
Filed under: uncultured bacterium
Lineage: Bacteria
Description: bacterial SSU rRNA
Rfam family: Bacterial small subunit ribosomal RNA
Source: RNAcentral
ACGGGUGAGUAACACGUAGGUAACCUGCCUGUAAGACCGGGAUAACUAUCGGAAACGAUAGCUAAGACCGGAUAACUGGUUUUCUCGCAUGAGGGAAUCAUAAAACACGGAGCAAUCUGUGGCUUAUAGAUGGGCCUGCGGCGCAUUAGCUAGUUGGUGAGGUAACGGCUCACCAAGGCGACGAUGCGUAGCCGACCUGAGAGGGUGAACGGCCACACUGGGACUGAGACACGGCCCAGACUCCUACGGGAGGCAGCAGUAGGGAAUCUUCCGCAAUGGACGCAAGUCUGACGGAGCAACGCCGCGUGAGUGAUGAAGGUUUUCGGAUCGUAAAGCUCUGUUGCCCUAGACGAACAGCAGGGAGAGUAACUGCUCUCUGUGUGACGGUAUAGGAGAAGAAAGCCCCGGCUAACUACGUGCCAGCAGCCGCGGUAAUACGUAGGGGGCAAGCGUUGUCCGGAAUUAUUGGGCGUAAAGCGCGCGCAGGCGGUUGGUUAAGUCUGACGUUUAAGCCCGGGGCUCAACCCCGGUUCGCAUCGGAAACUGGCUAACUUGAGUGUAGGAGAGGAAAGUGGAAUUCCACGUGUA